UGAAUACGAGAUGCUACGGCGUCGAAGCAGUGUAUGUCAGACUUCCAAGAAAAGCUCGCAAUGUCAUAAAUAAAGAAUGCCUGUACCAUAACCGACACAGGUGGGUAGGUAGAGUAUACUAAGGGGCGCGAGAUAACUCUCUCUAAGGAACUCGGCAAAAUAACUCCGUAACUUCGGGAGAAGGAGUGCCUUCUUUAAGAAGGUUGCAAUAACAAGAUCCAAGCAACUGUUUAUCAAAAACACAGGUCUCCGCUAAGUCGUAAGACGAUGUAUGGGGGCUGACGCCUGCCCAGUGCCAGAAGGUUAAAGAAGUUGGUUAGCUUUUGCGAAGCUGAUGACUGAAGCCCUGGUGAACGGCGGCCGUAACUAUAACGGUCCUAAGGUAGCGAAAUUCCUUGUCGGGUAAGUUCCGACCCGCACGAAAGGCGUAAUGAUUUGGAUACUGUCUCGGAGAGGGACUCGGUGAAAUAGACUUGUCUGUGAAGAUGCGGACUACCUGCACCAGGACAGAAAGACCCUAUGAAGCUUUACUGUAACUUGAAAUUGAAAUUGGACUUUAUUUGCGCAGUAUAGGUGGAAGGCGUUGAAAGUAAUCUUGCGGGAUUAGUGGAGCCAUCAGUGGGAUACCACUCCUAUAAUGUUAGAUUUCUAACUUUGGAUCAUGAUCUGGUCAAAGAACAGUUUCAGGCGGGCAGUUUGACUGGGGCGGUCGCCUCCCAAAUGGUAACGGAGGCGUACAAAGGUUUCCUCUGAACGGGUAGAAAUCGUAUCUAGAGUGUAAAGGCAUAAGGAAGCUUGACUGUGAGACCUACAAGUCGAGCAGGGACGAAAGUCGGUCUUAGUGAUCUGACGGUGCUGAGUGGAAAGGCCGUCACUCAACGGAUAAAAGUUACUCUAGGAUAACAGGCUGAUCUCCCCCAAGAGUUCACAUCGACGGGGAGGUUUGGCACCUCGAUGUCGGCUCAUCGCAUCCUGGGGCGGUAGUACGUCCCAAGGGUUGGGCUGUUCGCCCAUGAAAGCGGUACGCGAGCUGGGUUCAGAACGUCGUGAGACAGUUCGGUCCAUAUCCGGUGUAGGCGUUAGAAUAUUGAGAGGAGCCUUCUUUAGUACGAGAGGACCGAGAAGGACAUACCUCUGGUGUACCAGUUAUCGUGCCAACGGUAAACGCUGGGUAGCUAUGUAUGGAGAGGAUAACCGCUGAAAGCAUCUAAGUGGGAAGCCCACCUCAAGAUGAGUAUUCUC
RNAcentral lists this ribosomal RNA (1242 nucleotides) under metagenome. Its description in RNAcentral is "bacterial LSU rRNA". It matches the Rfam family "Bacterial large subunit ribosomal RNA", at positions 1564 to 2815 of the family's 2925-position model. The record is from RNAcentral.